GGGGACUAUUGCACAAUGGGCGAAAGCCUGAUGCAGCGACGCCGCGUGAGGGAUGACGGCCUUCGGGUUGUAAACCUCUUUCAGCAGGCAAGAGGUGAAAGUGACGGUACCUGCAGCACAAUCGCCCGCUAACUACGUGCCAGCAGCCGCGGUAAUACGUAGCGGACAAGCGUUGUCCGGAUUUACUGGGCGUAAAGGGCACGCAGGCGGUUUUUUAAGUCAGAUGUGAAAGGUACCGGCUCAACCGGUAACAUGCAUUUGAAACUGAAAGACUUGAGUAUUGGAGAGGCAAGUGGAAUUCCUAGUGUAGCGGUGAAAUGCGUAGAUAUUAGGAGGAACACCGGUGGCGAAGGCGGCUUGCUGGACAAAUACUGACGCUGAGGUGCGAAAGCGUGGGGAGCAAACA
This 406-nucleotide ribosomal RNA is filed under the name uncultured Acetobacterium sp. RNAcentral's name for it is "bacterial SSU rRNA". It matches the Rfam family "Bacterial small subunit ribosomal RNA", at positions 356 to 774 of the family's 1533-position model. The record is from RNAcentral. Lineage: Bacteria; Bacillati; Bacillota; Clostridia; Eubacteriales; Eubacteriaceae.